AAAAAUGUAUUUAGUUAACACUUGUAUUAAACUUGAACACAACUUUUAUACAAAGAUGGGUUCAAGUUUACUACAAGUGGUACCUAAAUAAAUUUUUUAAAUACAUUUUUAGCACAUUUUAGUUCAUAUUUAGUUCAUUAGUGUCUCAAAAUAGCACAGUGAAGUACACUUAGAUGAUCUUAAGAACAUCUUAAGAAGUACUAAGGAUGAAUUUUUAGUAUAUUAAGUACAAAAUUUGUGUGUGAAAAUAAAGCACAUUAAAUACACUAUGGAAUAUUAAAUAACCUGGGUUAACACAUGAGUCAGUUUUGGUGAACUGUUACUUCAAAACUCUACACAUAAAUCCUUACAUUUCUCAGUGCUUACACCAUCUGGUCAUAUGGAAAGCACUAGCAUUCAAUACUGUUCACUCAAGUCAGCACAGCUUAGGCUCAAUUAGCAAACAAUUACCAAGGUGAAAACACUAAAAGUCAAAAUUGAACACACAUCAAUCAGAUCCUUCAAUAGAUAGAUAAAGGGCCUGAAUCUGUUCACUGAGCUUUGGAACAAUAGAUCCACAGAGAAAUGAAGGAAUAGGUUGAGGAGGAGAAAGAGGAGGAUGGAAAGGACGUGGUGAGGGAGGAGAAAGAGGACAUGGUGAAGGAGAGAACAAGAUGAAGAAAUAGGUUGAGGAGGAGGAGGCAGAAGAGGAGGGAAAGAAGGAGGACGUGGUGAAGGAGGAGGAAGAGGACAUGGUAAAGGAGGAGGGAGGGGACAUGAUGAAGAAACAGGUCGAGGAGGAGAAGGGAGAGGAAUAGGCUGAGGGAGAGGAGGAGGGAAAGGAGGAGGAAGAGGAGGAGGACGUGGUGAAAGAGGAGGAGGGAGAUGAAGGGCAAGGUGACAAGCAGUCUCAGAUGAAAUUCAAGCCACUUUAGUUGACCAUGUCCUGGUCCAUGACUAUGAGGGAGGCGGAGAAAUGAGUAAAGCCUAAUUUGAGUCGCUUCACUGUUGCCUCCAUCUUCAGAGCCUUCAGGGAAGAAAACAGAUAGAUGUACUUACAGUAAGACUGCUCUGUACAGUAACUUUAGUGUGCAUACACUGUUCGACUAUGCUACUGGAAUAAAGAAAUGCAUCAAAUUGCCUUCCAUACAGAUUGACAUAUCAGUAGAUGAAUGCAAGGGGUGGAUCAGGCAAGAGGAUUUUACCCUUGAUGUUUGGCUAGGACGUAGGACCAAUAUAGUCUGUGAUGUGGAUGAGAUUCUCUGGCCUGACCCAGAACUACAGUAGGUGGCGGUACUGCACCUAAAAGUUGUUUGCUAACCACCAGUAAAACUCGAGAAGGAGACUGAUCGUUGGCAUGCUCUCAACCCAGGAAAAACUUCAAGCUUUACAAGAUGCUGUUUUAAACCAGUUUCCACGGCCAAAGCUGAUGUUAGAAAAUCCAUCAACAGUAGAAUAUGCGAGCUAAGACACCAGGUGAAGUGUAAAAGCAUGGGUAUAUAAGUCAUUUAAAUCAGUGAAGAGCCAAGAUGGACUCCUAAUCAGGAUAAAGGCCUGUUCUUUUGGCAAUUUAUUUCUUUGCUUUUUCAUGUUGCCAAAGCUCCUUGAAAGUUUGUUUAUUAUUUAUUUAUCUAUUUUUGUCUGUGCAUUUUGUUUAUAUUGUAUUUUUAACUGUAUAACGGCACUGCUGAAGUUUGAAAUAAAUAGACAUUGGAAAUUUAAAUUGCUUUAAUUUAUAUUUUAUAUAUUUUCUGUUUAUUGUCACUCUUUUAACAUGUAAUUUAUGUAAAUGUAAUGCAAGACAUUUAUGUAAUGUAAAGCAAAUCACAUUGUCUGACCAUGUGCAAAACCUCUUGUGGUUGUAAUAGGCCUGUUUAGCUCUCUACCUCAAAUUGGUUUUAGUAUGUGUGCCUGAUUAAAAGAAAAUAAAGGUGGCUUUUGAUAGAUUAUCCAUUAGUCUGUGUUAAUAUGUGGUAUAAAUGUGUAUACAUAUUUUUAUGUAUAUAUUUCUAUAUAAUUUUACAUGUUAUUUAAAAUACAUUCUACCAUAUAGUAAACAUGCAUGUGCCACUAUAUCUGUACAUAUAUUGUUAAUACAUUUUUGCAUAUCAAUCGGAAUACAAUAUGGCGGAUAUUUAUGAAUAUA
Molecule: non-coding RNA, 2125 nt
Organism: Misgurnus anguillicaudatus (oriental weatherfish)
Lineage: Eukaryota; Metazoa; Chordata; Actinopteri; Cypriniformes; Cobitidae
Source: RefSeq, a predicted model, not a curated record